This 717-nucleotide ribosomal RNA is filed under the name uncultured fungus. RNAcentral's name for it is "SSU rRNA". It matches the Rfam family "Eukaryotic small subunit ribosomal RNA", at positions 332 to 1053 of the family's 1831-position model. Lineage: Eukaryota; Fungi. The record is from RNAcentral.
GAUAGAGGCCUACCAUGGUGGUAACGGGUAACGGGGUGUUAGGGCACGACACCGGAGAGGGAGCCUGAGAAACGGCUACCACAUCCAAGGAUGGCAGCAGGCGCGCAAAUUACCCAAUCCCGACACGGGGAGGUAGUGACAAUAAAUAACAAUACGGGGUUCUUUCGGAUCUCGUAAUUGGAAUGAGUACAAUUUAAAUCUCUUAACGAGGAACAAUUGGAGGGCAAGUCUGGUGCCAGCAGCCGCGGUAAUUCCAGCUCCAAUAGCGUAUAUUAAAGUUGUUGCAGUUAAAAAGCNNNUAGUUGAAUUUCGGGGUUAGUAGGUUGGUCAUGCCUCUGGUAUGUACUGGUCUCACUGAUUCCUCCUUCCUUAUGAACCGUAAUGCCAUUAAUUUGGUGUUGCGGGGAAUUUGGACUGUUACUUUGAAAAAAUUAGAGUGUUUAAAGCAAGCUAACGCUUGAAUACAUUAGCAUGGAAUAAUGAAAUAGGACGUUCGAUCUUAUUUUGUUGGUUUCUAGGAUUGACGUAAUGAUUAAUAGGGAUAGUUGGGGGCAUUAGUAUUCAAUUGUCAGAGGUGAAAUUCUUGGAUUUAUUGAAGACUAACUACUGCGAAAGCAUUUGCCAAGGAUGUUUUCAUUAAUCAAGAACGAAAGUUAGGGGAUCGAAGACGAUCAGAUACCGUCGUAGUCUUAACCAUAAACUAUGCCGACUAGGGAU